AUUGUCUAAAGUGCCCUAAUAUAUUGGCUGGUUGAGGUUUCAACAUAGGAACAAAAAUACAAACAUCUGCCACUGGAAGUUUCUUCUAAUGACUGUUCCCCUUGACUUGUGAGUUCCAAGGAGGUGAGACGGUGUGCUUUGUUGUCUUUCUCAAACAGUGAUGAUGGUGCAUGCGCAAGGGUUGUGCGGCAAUAGCUCAUUAUAUGUAUGUCCAUACAUUCCCUGUUUGGUGAAUCGGUUCGGUUUGUUUUUUCCUCCCCUGCUUGCCCUGGUGUUUUUCUCGAGAUGCAGAAUGAAGUAGUUGGCCAAGUGUAUAAGAUUAUAUAUAUACCUUCUGCGGCUGAUAUUGGUGCUAUCUGCAUAUGUAGCAAACAAAGUAACCGGUAUGCUCAUCUUCUUUGUCUCUCUCUGUCUCUCUGUCUUUGUUAUGAUAUACAUUCAUGGGCUUAUUUUAUUGAGGUUGUGUUUGUUUUGUUAUGAGAGAUGAUAUGGCCCAUGUGUUUGCAAAUAUGUUUGACUAAAAGAUUGAGAUGUUUCGGCUUCCACACAUUGUGCCUAUUUUAUUGAUGUUGUGUUUGUUUUGUUAUGAGAUGAUUGGUCCACCAUGUGUUUGCAAAUAUGUUUGACUAAGAGAUUGAGAUGUUUUGGCUUCCAUACAUUGAUCACCAUGUGUUUGAUCAAAUCCUAAGAAAAAAUUAACAAAGCUACUAGCAGUGAAAGUUGUUUAUGACAAGCGUUCUUUUGUGACCCAUAAAUUAAUUAGUGAUUGAAAUUUUUAGGGAUUAGGACUCAUGGUUUGAAGUAUAUGAAUAUAGUAGUGGCAAGAACAAGUUACUGGCAGUGAAAAGUGAUUUCUCACAUACACUUUAAUUGGAGCAAAAAAAAAAUUCAGGUAUGCAAAUUCUCUUUAAAAAGAGUGUUGCCAAUCAACUAAGAAAUAAGCAAAGGAUGAAAAGCAACUUGAAAAACAAGUUCUGGGUUUACAAUCUAAAGCGGCUGAAAAAUCCACUUAAAAUCCACCUUGAUGUUGAGAAAAAAAAAAUAGCAGGAAAAAAAAAACCAGCAAACCAGGAAAACAAGAGCAGGAAAAAAAAAGGGCAAACCAAGAAAAAAAAAGAAAAAGGAAGCCCAACUUGACAAUUAAAACAACUUAUCCCAAUGUCUAAGUGGCCAAUAAAUAUUUAAGCCUAGAAAAUUGAGCAUAAAACCAUAUCAUGAUGUUAGCCAAUAAAUAUUUCACCUAAAUAGCUCUACACUCCACAGUAUUUGUUUUCCAUCCAAGACAUAACCUUAUUGGAAACAAUAUCAAAUGAGAUCCACCAAUUAAAAUUUGCCACUGAUUUUGCGUAGAUAUAAACGCAAACUUUUAGUAGUUGAUAACUAACCUUUGGCAGCCAGCAACUUUUUACUUAUGUGCAGGAAGAACAUUUCUCCAAACCUGAUAUAACUCACCUAGAUGAAGUUUUUAUGCUUCUAGGAAAAGAAGAAAAUCAUAAUGAACUUGAAAAAUCAUAAUAGUUAAAAUGUAGAUGUAGUUUACAUGUGAUUUUGAGAUUGGUAUGAUUUUGAUUUGAAUAGUUGAAUUUUUCAUUGAAUUUAAUGAAAUGUGAAUGGAUAAUAAUAAAAAAAAAAUCAAACACAAUUGAUUGGGAAUGUGUAAAAAUAAAGGGAAUGGAAUAAUGUGAAAUGUGAAUGUGAAUGGCUUAAAAAAAAAGAAUAACGUGGAAUGUGAAUGGUUUAAGAACUAAAUAUUUGAUAGCAUAACUGAGAGGAAGAUAUCCUAAUUCGGCAAAUUCAUUUUAACGUUAGUGGAACUUUUAGUGAUGCCAACAGAGGUUUUUUUUUUUUUUUUAAUUUUUUUUCCUUUUUGAUUCGUUAGUUGUUUGUAACUUUUAGGUGUUAAAAUUAUGGGCAUUUGUGAAUCUUCCCAGAUCUCGUAUUCCCUCUUUAGAUGAGAUGAGUCCACUGUGGCCUUUGAAAGCAUUUGAAUAUUUGUAUAAUUGUUGUUAACUUUGUUUAAGAUUAUGACAGAAAUUUCAGAGGCUUGAAUUUCUCCAAACCUGAUGUAGCUCACCUAGAUGAAGUUUUUAUGCUUCUAGGAAAAGAAGAAAAUCAUAAUGAACUUGAAAAAUCGUAAUAGUUAAAAUGUAGAUGUAGUUUACAUGUGAUUUUAAGAUUGGUAUGAUUUUGAUUUGAAUAGUUGAAUUUUUCAUUGAAUUUAAUGAAAUAUGAAUGGAUAAAAAAUAUAUAUAUUUGAUGUUGAUGAUCAACUACUAAAAGUUGGUGUUCUAUCUAAGCAAAAAAAUUAAGGUAUGCAAACUCUCUUUCAAAAGAGUGUUGCCAAUCAACAAAGAAAUAAGCAAAGGAUGAAAAGCAACUUGAAAAACAAGUUCUGGGCUUACAAUCUAAAGCGGGUGAAAAAUCCACUUAGAAUCCACCUUGAUGUUGAGAAAAAAAAAAAAAAACCAGCAAACUAGGAAAACAAGAGCAGGAAAAAAAGAGGGCAAACCAAGAAAAAAAAAAGAAAAAGGAAGCCCAACUUGACAAUCAAAACAACUUAUCCCAAUGUCUACGUGGCCAAUAAAUAUUUAAGCCUAGAAAAUUGAGCAUAAAACCAUAUCAUGAUGUUGGGGCUUAAUGAAUGUGAACGAAAUUAUCUUACUAAUUUGUCAAUAACAUAUUUGUGACCAAAUAUGUACAAAUUUGGAAGCGAUGUGGUUGCACAUAUUGCUUUCACCUAAAUAACUCUACACUCCACAGUAUUUGUUUUACAUCCAAGACAUAACCUUAUUGGAAACAAUAUCAAUUGAGAUCCACUAAUUAAAAUUUGCCACUGAUUUUGCUUAGAUAGAAACACAAACGUUUAGAAGCUGAUAACUAACCUUUGGCAGCUAGCAACUUUUUACCUAUGUGCAGGAAGAACAUUUCUCCAAAAUGUGAAUGGUUUAAGAACUAAAUAUUUGAUAGCAUAACUGGAAGAAAGAUAUCCUAAGAACAACAAGUAUUCAAACAUUUGAAAAACAACUUCAUUCGAGAACAUAUAAUGUUGAAUAGAGCGGGAAAAAAAAAAAAAAAAAA
This is a non-coding RNA of Camellia sinensis, 3078 nucleotides long. The record is from RefSeq and is a predicted model, not a curated record. Lineage: Eukaryota; Viridiplantae; Streptophyta; Magnoliopsida; Ericales; Theaceae.